AUUGAACGCUGGCGGCAUGCCUUACACAUGCAAGUCGAACGGUAACAGGUUAAGCUGACGAGUGGCGAACGGGUGAGUAAUGUAUCGGAACGUGCCCAGUCGUGGGGGAUAACUGCUCGAAAGAGCAGCUAAUACCGCAUACGACCUGAGGGUGAAAACGGGGGAUCGCAAGACCUCGCGCGAUUGGAGCGGCCGAUAUCAGAUUAGGUAGUUGGUGAGGUAAAGGCUCACCAAGCCGACGAUCUGUAGCUGGUCUGAGAGGACGACCAGCCACACUGGGACUGAGACACGGCCCAGACUCCUACGGGAGGCAGCAGUGGGGAAUUUUGGACAAUGGGCGCAAGCCUGAUCCAGCCAUGCCGCGUGCGGGAAGAAGGCCUUCGGGUUGUAAACCGCUUUUGUCAGGGAAGAAAAGGUUCUGGCUAAUACCUGGGACUCAUGACGGUACCUGAAGAAUAAGCACCGGCUAACUACGUGCCAGCCGCCGCAGUAA
RNAcentral lists this ribosomal RNA (493 nucleotides) under uncultured bacterium. Its description in RNAcentral is "partial 16S ribosomal RNA". It matches the Rfam family "Bacterial small subunit ribosomal RNA", at positions 30 to 523 of the family's 1533-position model. The record is from RNAcentral.